CAGUGUAUUCCCAUAUAGUGGAGUCUGGAGAGGGUAAAGUGUACGCAGACCAUACCACUACCUUAGGUGAAGUAGAGAGACUAUUUUCGAUAGACCCCUAGCUUAGAACCGAUAACAGUAUAACAAACACAAAAGAUAAGUGUAAAAUAAACUAACAUCGCUAGAAACAAGAUAAUACUACCACCACAAGAUAAAAAAAAGAUCUAACGUAAAUGAUAUACAUCACACAACACCAUGCAUAAAAAACUAUAGACACAAAAGAACGCUCCCUUAUUGUUACCAACGCACUCUCACCCCCUAACCCUCUACCCUAAUCCA
This 318-nucleotide long non-coding RNA is filed under the name Capsicum annuum. RNAcentral's name for it is "long non-coding RNA (CANN_LNC000889)". The record is from RNAcentral. Lineage: Eukaryota; Viridiplantae; Streptophyta; Magnoliopsida; Solanales; Solanaceae.